This 498-nucleotide ribosomal RNA is filed under the name uncultured bacterium. RNAcentral's name for it is "partial 16S ribosomal RNA". It matches the Rfam family "Bacterial small subunit ribosomal RNA", at positions 28 to 507 of the family's 1533-position model. The record is from RNAcentral.
GACGAACGCUGGCGGCAUGCCUAACACAUGCAAGUCGAACGGAGAUUAUUUCGGUAAUCUUAGUGGCGAACGGGUGAGUAACGCGUGGGCAACCUGCCCUCUAGAUGGGGACAACAUCCCGAAAGGGGUGCUAAUACCGAAUGUGACAGCAAUCUCGCAUGAGGAUGCUGUGAAAGAUGGCCUCUAUUUAUAAGCUAUCGCUAGAGGAUGGGCCUGCGUCUGAUUAGCUAGUUGGUGGGGUAACGGCCUACCAAGGCGAUGAUCAGUAGCCGGUCUGAGAGGAUGAACGGCCACAUUGGGACUGAGACACGGCCCAGACUCCUACGGGAGGCAGCAGUGGGGAAUCUUCCGCAAUAGGCGAAAGCCUGACGGAGCAAUGCCGCGUGAGUGAUGAAGGAAUUCGUUCCGUAAAGCUCUUUUGUUUAUGACGAAUGUGCAGAUUGUGAACAAUGAUCUGUAAUGACGGUAGUAAACGAAUAAGCCACGGCUAACUACGUG